Molecule: long non-coding RNA, 302 nt
Filed under: Pan troglodytes (chimpanzee)
Lineage: Eukaryota; Metazoa; Chordata; Mammalia; Primates; Hominidae
Description: long non-coding RNA NONPTRT005699
Source: RNAcentral
GUAGCGGGCACAGAAAGAGUUGGGCACAGGACUGGUUAAGUGUGGAUGGGGGUCAACUUGGAGGAAAGCAUAGCGGGGAUACUGCACAAAGGAAGCCAGCCCAGGAAGGGUCACCCUGUCCAACGUGUCCGAGCGGAAAGACAACAUGCGCCUCGGCCUUAGUCUCGCCACCAACCCCAAGGACAACAGCUUCCUGGCCUGCAGCCCCCUCUGGUCUCAUGAGUGUGGGAGCUCCUACUACACCACAGGGAUGUGUUCAAGAGUCAACUCCAACUUCAGGUUCUCCAAGACCGUGGCCCCAG